This 484-nucleotide ribosomal RNA is filed under the name uncultured bacterium. RNAcentral describes it as "partial 16S ribosomal RNA". It matches the Rfam family "Bacterial small subunit ribosomal RNA", at positions 30 to 507 of the family's 1533-position model. The record is from RNAcentral.
AUUGAACGCUGGCGGAAUGCUUUACACAUGCAAGUCGAACGGCAGCACGGGGGCAGCCCUGGUGGCGAGUGGCGAACGGGUGAGUAAUACAUCGGAACGUGCCCGGUCGUGGGGGAUAACGUAGCGAAAGUUACGCUAAUACCGCAUACGAUCUGAGGAUGAAAGCGGGGGACCUUCGGGCCUCGCGCGAUCGGAGCGGCCGAUGUCAGAUUAGGUAGUUGGUGGGGUAAAGGCCUACCAAGCCGACGAUCUGUAGCUGGUCUGAGAGGACGACCAGCCACACUGGGACUGAGACACGGCCCAGACUCCUACGGGAGGCAGCAGUGGGGAAUUUUGGACAAUGGGCGCAAGCCUGAUCCAGCCAUUCCGCGUGCAGGACGAAGGCCUUCGGGUUGUAAACUGUUUUUGUACGGAACGAAAAGGCUCUGGCUAAUACCUGGGGCUCAUGACGGUACCGUAAGAAUAAGCACCGGCUAACUACGUG